This 713-nucleotide ribosomal RNA is filed under the name Vibrio sp. 7D08. RNAcentral describes it as "bacterial SSU rRNA". It matches the Rfam family "Bacterial small subunit ribosomal RNA", at positions 33 to 735 of the family's 1533-position model. Lineage: Bacteria; Pseudomonadati; Pseudomonadota; Gammaproteobacteria; Vibrionales; Vibrionaceae. The record is from RNAcentral.
ACGCUGGCGGCAGGCCUAACACAUGCAAGUCGAGCGGUAACAGGAAUUAGCUUGCUAAUUUGCUGACGAGCGGCGGACGGGUGAGUAAUGCCUGGGAAUAUGCCUUAGUGUGGGGGAUAACUAUUGGAAACGAUAGCUAAUACCGCAUAACGUCUUCGGACCAAAGAGGGGGACCUUCGGGCCUCUCGCGCUAAGAUUAGCCCAGGUGGGAUUAGCUAGUUGGUGAGGUAAAGGCUCACCAAGGCAACGAUCCCUAGCUGGUCUGAGAGGAUGAUCAGCCACACUGGAACUGAGACACGGUCCAGACUCCUACGGGAGGCAGCAGUGGGGAAUAUUGCACAAUGGGGGAAACCCUGAUGCAGCCAUGCCGCGUGUAUGAAGAAGGCCUUCGGGUUGUAAAGUACUUUCAGUCGUGAGGAAGGSURUGUAGUUAAUAGCUGCAUGCCUUGACGUUAGCGACAGAAGAAGCACCGGCUAACUCCGUGCCAGCAGCCGCGGUAAUACGGAGGGUGCGAGCGUUAAUCGGAAUUACUGGGCGUAAAGCGCAUGCAGGCGGUCUGUUAAGCAAGAUGUGAAAGCCCGGGGCUCAACCUCGGAACCGCAUUUUGAACUGGCAGACUAGAGUCUUGUAGAGGGGGGUAGAAUUUCAGGUGUAGCGGUGAAAUGCGUAGAGAUCUGAAGGAAUACCGGUGGCGAAGGCGGCCCCCUGGACA